Non-coding RNA from Pelobates cultripes (western spadefoot toad), 727 nucleotides. The record is from the annotation of a GenBank genome assembly. Lineage: Eukaryota; Metazoa; Chordata; Amphibia; Anura; Pelobatidae.
CUGCAGUCUGCAUUUACAAACAUUUGUGAAAAGAAUGGAUUGCUCUGAAGCGCUCAGUGAAUUCAUUCCUGGCACUGUGUUAGGAUCCUGCUAGAUAUUCCACAGGAAGCGUUGAGGAACAGCAGCAACUCCACCACAAAGUGGCAAACCACAGAGCUGGGUCACAGAAUGCUGAGGUGCCCACUGCGUAAAAGUCACCAAUGCACUAUAGCUGAAGAAAUCCCAACUUCCACUGGCAUUAAUAUCAGCACAAAAACUACGUGGCAGGAGCUUCAAAGAAUGGAUUUCCAUGGCCAAGCAGCAGCAUGCAAGCAUCAUAUCACCCAGUACAAUUCCAAGCAUUGGAUUGAGUGGCGUAACGCACGCCUGUAGCGGACCACGGGUAACCCGACUGGUUACCUUAGUUAAUUCCUUCCUCCAGCAACUCCUUGAGCGGUGUAAUUCAUUCAUCCUUUUGGUUACUGAAUGUUGGUUCCAUUCAGCUGGGAAGUAUCAUCCCACUCCUGCCACCAGAUGUAGCGGACCACGGGUAACCAGACUGGUUACGUCCGCUAGUUCCUUCCUACAGCCACUCUGGAACCAUUAACACAAGCAGACAUCCAUUCCCCCAGUAACCAGACGGAACAUAGUUCUGGGAGUCAGCUGAGCUUAUUCGGACCCCACAUGGCUUUUAUGCCUAGUCCCCUACAUGGGGUUUACAGUACCAUAAAAUGGGUUUCAAUCCCGG